RNAcentral lists this signal recognition particle RNA (97 nucleotides) under Hahellaceae bacterium. Its description in RNAcentral is "signal recognition particle sRNA small type". It matches the Rfam family "Bacterial small signal recognition particle RNA". Rfam says of the family: The signal recognition particle (SRP) is a universally conserved ribonucleoprotein involved in the co-translational targeting of proteins to membranes. Archaeal SRP consists of a 7S RNA and homologues of the eukaryotic SRP19 and SRP54 proteins. The record is from RNAcentral. Lineage: Bacteria; Pseudomonadati; Pseudomonadota; Gammaproteobacteria; Oceanospirillales; Hahellaceae.
CGCUGGUUCCCUCGCAACAAUAUGCCGUGAACCCGGUCAGGCCUGGAAGGGAGCAGCCGAAGCAGCAGAUUUGUGUGCCGAGGUGUCGCUGGCGGCG